This 126-nucleotide small RNA is filed under the name pig gut metagenome. RNAcentral describes it as "Ribosomal protein L10 leader". It matches the Rfam family "Ribosomal protein L10 leader". Rfam says of the family: This family is a putative r-protein leader autoregulatory structure found in B. subtilis and other low-GC Gram-positive bacteria. It is located in the 5' untranslated regions of mRNAs encoding ribosomal proteins L10 and L12 (rplJ-rplL). The record is from RNAcentral.
UAUCAAAGAUAACUGCCGAAGACAGCAGGUGCCGUAUGGCAUAAGGAGUAAACGCCUGCCGAGGAGUAUAAGUUCUGAAAAGAAUUUGUGUGUCCUUCUGUCUUGCAGAAGGGCUUUUUUAUUACU